AAAGUUCUAACACAACUUGUUGGUUAGUUGAGCAAAUAUCUUUAAAAUAUUGCGCAAAUGUGUGAAUAUAACUUACUGAAAUGGGCCAAUCAGAGCGAAGUUAACGUCUGUAAGAAAAGAAACAUAGGACGGACAUAGGCCGGUUUAUGCUUCGACGAUCGAAGGGUGCGAACUAACGCAGAUACUUCUAAUAUCUAAUCUCUAUAAAAGGAUGUAAAAAAAAUAGAAAAGUAGCAUAAACUGAAACAGAUUUUAAUCCUUGCGUCUCUCUGUACAGUGUAUUUCUGCUGGUUGGGUAUUUCUUUGUUAUUGUUAUUUUCGUUGUUAUAUUGUUAGUUUUGUUGUUGUUAUUGUUGUAACUCAAUGGUUUAAUCAAUAAAGUUACAUGUCAACCAGAA
Molecule: long non-coding RNA, 398 nt
Organism: Vespula vulgaris
Lineage: Eukaryota; Metazoa; Arthropoda; Insecta; Hymenoptera; Vespidae
Exons: 2
Source: RefSeq, a predicted model, not a curated record